UGUUUCGGCUAGGGGGCCAUCCCGGCUUACCAACCCGAUGCAAACUGCGAAUACCGGAGAAUGUUAUCACGGGAGACACACGGCGGGUGCUAACGUCCGUCGUGAAGAGGGAAACAACCCAGACCGCCAGCUAAGGUCCCAAAGUCAUGGUUAAGUGGGAAACGAUGUGGGAAGGCCCAGACAGCCAGGAUGUUGGCUUAGAAGCAGCCAUCAUUUAAAGAAAGCGUAAUAGCUCACUGGUCGAGUCGGCCUGCGCGGAAGAUGUAACGGGGCUAAACCAUGCACCGAAGCUGCGGCAGCGACACUAUGUGUUGUUGGGUAGGGGAGCGUUCUGUAAGCCUGUGAAGGUGUGCUGUGAGGCAUGCUGGAGGUAUCAGAAGUGCGAAUGCUGACAUAAGUAACGAUAAAGCGGGUGAAAAGCCCGCUCGCCGGAAGACCAAGGGUUCCUGUCCAACGUUAAUCGGGGCAGGGUGAGUCGACCCCUAAGGCGAGGCCGAAAGGCGUAGUCGAUGGGAAACAGGUUAAUAUUCCUGUACUUGGUGUUACUGCGAAGGGGGGACGGAGAAGGCUAUGUCGGCCGGGCGACGGUUGUCCCGGUUUAAGCGUGUAGGCUGACUUUCCAGGCAA
RNAcentral lists this ribosomal RNA (627 nucleotides) under Cronobacter sakazakii. Its description in RNAcentral is "partial 23S ribosomal RNA". It matches the Rfam family "Bacterial large subunit ribosomal RNA", at positions 911 to 1539 of the family's 2925-position model. The record is from RNAcentral. Lineage: Bacteria; Pseudomonadati; Pseudomonadota; Gammaproteobacteria; Enterobacterales; Enterobacteriaceae.